This 369-nucleotide ribosomal RNA is filed under the name uncultured phototrophic eukaryote. RNAcentral describes it as "SSU rRNA". It matches the Rfam family "Bacterial small subunit ribosomal RNA", at positions 524 to 896 of the family's 1533-position model. The record is from RNAcentral.
UACGGGGGAUGCAAGCGUUAUCCGGAAUUAUUGGGCGUAAAGCGCCUGUAGGUUGUUUAAUAAGUCUGUUGUUAAAGAUUAGGGCUUAACCCUAGAAAAGCAAUGGAAACUACUAGACUAGAGUAUGGUAGGGGUAGAGGGAAUUUCUAGUGUAGCGGUGAAAUGCGUAGAUAUUAGAAAGAACACCAGUGGCGAAAGCGCUCUACUGGACCAUUACUGACACUCAGAGGCGAAAGCUAGGGUAGCAAAAGGGAUUAGAUACCCCUGUAGUCCUAGCCGUAAACGAUGGAUACUAGAUGUUGUGACUCCGUUACAGUAUCGUAGCUAACGCGUUAAGUAUCCCGCCUGGGGAGUACGCUCGCAAGAGUG